Parasteatoda tepidariorum (common house spider) is the source of this 582-nucleotide non-coding RNA. NCBI's taxonomy places the organism in Eukaryota, Metazoa, Arthropoda, Arachnida, Araneae, Theridiidae. The record is from RefSeq and is a predicted model, not a curated record.
AUUUAAGCUAUCCAGCCGCCACGUAGCAAUCUCUUAGUAGUUUGGAUAACUGAGUAUUAUUACCUUCAUUACCCUCUUACGAAUAACCUUCUAGAUUUUAGAAAUUUAAGCUACGGCAGCUUCAGUUAUAUUAAGUUAAUUGGCUAUUGCAUCUACUGAAAUUAAAGCCACGCAUUUAAGACUGUAUUGUGAACUGGCUUACCGACUGGGAGUCACGCAAUUACUGGACUGGCUUACCGACUGGGAGUCACGCAAUUACUGGACUGGCUUACCGACUGGGAGUCACGCAAUUACUGGACUGGCUUACCGACUGGGAGUCACGCAAUUACUGGACUGGCUUACCGACUGGGAGUCACGCAAUUACUGGACUGGCUUACCGACUGGGAGUCACGCAAUUACUGGACUGGCUUACCGACUGGGAGUCACGCAAUUACUGGACUGGCUUACCGACUGGGAGUCACGCAAUUACUGGACUGGCUUACCGACUGGGAGUCACGCAAUUACUGGACUGGCUUACCGACUGGGAGUCACGCAAUUACUGGACUGGCUUACGAGCAGUUCCUAUCAGUAUCAGUGGGUGCC